GACGAACGCUGGCGGCGUGCUUAACACAUGCCAGUCGAACGGAAAGGCCCUGCUUUUGUGGGGUGCUCGAGUGGCGAACGGGUGAGUAACACGUGAGUAACCUGCCCUUGACUUUGGGAUAACUUCAGGAAACUGGGGCUAAUACCGGAUAGGAGCUCCUGCUGCAUGGUGGGGGUUGGAAAGUUUCGUCGGUUGGGGAUGGACUCGCGGCUUAUCAGCUUGUUGGUGGGGUAGUGGCUUACCAAGGCUUUGACGGGUAGCCGGCCUGAGAGGGUGACCGGCCACAUUGGGACUGAGAGACGGCCCAGAAUGCUACGGGAGGCAGCAGUGGGGAAUAUUGCACAAUGGGCGGAAGCCUGAUGCAGCAACGCCGCGUGCGGGAUGACGGCCUUCGGGUUGUAAACCGCUUUCGCCUGUGACGAAGCGUGAGUGACGGUAAUGGGUAAAGAAGCACCGGCUAACUACGUG
This 468-nucleotide ribosomal RNA is filed under the name uncultured bacterium. RNAcentral's name for it is "partial 16S ribosomal RNA". It matches the Rfam family "Bacterial small subunit ribosomal RNA", at positions 28 to 507 of the family's 1533-position model. The record is from RNAcentral.